Molecule: ribosomal RNA, 465 nt
Filed under: Vreelandella stevensii
Lineage: Bacteria; Pseudomonadati; Pseudomonadota; Gammaproteobacteria; Oceanospirillales; Halomonadaceae
Description: partial 16S ribosomal RNA
Rfam family: Bacterial small subunit ribosomal RNA
Source: RNAcentral
CCUACGGGUGGCAGCAGUGGGGAAUAUUGGACAAUGGGCGAAAGCCUGAUCCAGCCAUGCCGCGUGUGUGAAGAAGGCCUUCGGGUUGUAAAGCACUUUCAGUGGGGAAGAAAGCCUUGGGGCUAAUACCCUCGAGGAAGGACAUCACCCACAGAAGAAGCACCGGCUAACUCCGUGCCAGCAGCCGCGGUAAUACGGAGGGUGCGAGCGUUAAUCGGAAUUACUGGGCGUAAAGCGCGCGUAGGCGGUCUGAUAAGCCGGUUGUGAAAGCCCCGGGCUCAACCUGGGAACGGCAUCCGGAACUGUCAGGCUAGAGUGCAGGAGAGGAAGGUAGAAUUCCCGGUGUAGCGGUGAAAUGCGUAGAGAUCGGGAGGAAUACCAGUGGCGAAGGCGGCCUUCUGGACUGACACUGACGCUGAUGUGCGAAAGCGUGGGUAGCAAACAGGAUUAGAUACCCGAGUAGUC